UGAGAAGGGAGACCAUACAACAAGAUGC
RNAcentral lists this non-coding RNA (28 nucleotides) under Rattus norvegicus (Norway rat). Lineage: Eukaryota; Metazoa; Chordata; Mammalia; Rodentia; Muridae. The record is from RNAcentral.